GCGCUUCAACAAUCUAGGCGAAGUUCUCUUCACUGAUUCAACUUUCUUCAGACUCUUCUUCUUCAUAAUCUUUUCAUUCUUAGAUUUUACCUGAUUAACCGCAUCAACAUCUUCAUUCCUCCGGCUUCUCGUCCUCCCAGCAACACCUUCUUCCACAUCCCUCUCCUCGAACUCAAGCUUUCUCACCAAAUCAUCCUCAGAUUCAUCAACCAACCUCCUUUUCCUCUUCAACACAUACGGAGCAAGAGGCAUAGGUGGGCUACUCUCCGUACACGUA
Molecule: long non-coding RNA, 277 nt
Filed under: Solanum lycopersicum (tomato)
Lineage: Eukaryota; Viridiplantae; Streptophyta; Magnoliopsida; Solanales; Solanaceae
Description: long non-coding RNA (SLYC_LNC000460)
Source: RNAcentral